CAAUUAUUUUUAAAAUUGCUGUAAUAUUCAUUUCCUGGUACACCAUUAAAUUUGUCAUGUCCUGGAGAACAAAAUGAUAUAUAAAGUUGCAUGUAGUUGCCAGGGUUGUUCCAAAAAAAAGGAAAUAUAAAAUGGAUUCUUACUUUAAACUUAAAAAAAAAAACAGUUUUGUCACCUUUUAAACGCUAUUCCCAAAAAACACCUUGGAACAUCUGCAAGCCUUAAAACUGGGAAUCAAAAUAAAACAAACAUCAUGCACAAAGGAAAGAACAUUUCAAAUACCUUGUCUAAUAAGAAUUAUUACACAUCAAAUUUUUGUCACCGAAAAUCAUUUUUGCUUUUUUUUUUUUUUUUUUAGUAUAAAUGGCUAUCAAAGUGACAUAAAUCUAUAAGGUAA
Molecule: long non-coding RNA, 397 nt
Organism: Thalassophryne amazonica
Lineage: Eukaryota; Metazoa; Chordata; Actinopteri; Batrachoidiformes; Batrachoididae
Exons: 3
Source: RefSeq, a predicted model, not a curated record